UCCUACGGGAGGCUGCAGUCGAGAAUCUUCGGCAAUGGGCGCAAGCCUGACCGAGCGACGCCGCGUGUGGGAUGAAGGCCUUCGGGUUGUAAACCACUGUCAGAGGGGAUGAAAUGCAGGUGGGUUCUCCCAUCUGUUUGACAUAGCCUCAGAGGAAGGACGGGCUAAGUUCGUGCCAGCAGCCGCGGUAAGACGAACCGUCCAAACGUUAUUCGGAAUCACUGGGCUUAAAGGGUGCGUAGGCGGCGCGGAAAGUUGGGUGUGAAAUCCCUCGGCUCAACCGAGGAACUGCGCCCAAAACUACCGUGCUCGAGGGAGAUAGAGGUGAGCGGAACUUAGGGUGGAGCGGUGAAAUGCGUUGAUAUCCUAAGGAACACCGGUGGCGAAAGCGGCUCACUGGAUCUCUUCUGACGCUGAUGCACGAAAGCUAGGGUAGCGAACGGGAUUAGAUACCCCAGUAGUCA
RNAcentral lists this ribosomal RNA (464 nucleotides) under uncultured bacterium. Its description in RNAcentral is "bacterial SSU rRNA". It matches the Rfam family "Bacterial small subunit ribosomal RNA", at positions 337 to 796 of the family's 1533-position model. The record is from RNAcentral.